AAUGGGCGAAAGCCUGAUCCAGCCAUGCCGCGUGAGUGAUGAAGGCCCUAGGGUUGUAAAGCUCUUUCGACGGGGACGAUAAUGACGGUACCCGUAGAAGAAGCCCCGGCUAACUUCGUGCCAGCAGCCGCGGUAAUACGAAGGGGGCUAGCGUUGUUCGGAAUCACUGGGCGUAAAGCGCACGUAGGCGGAUUAUUAAGUCGGGGGUGAAAUCCCGAGGCUCAACCUCGGAACUGCCUUCGAUACUGGUAAUCUUCGAGUCCGGGAGAGGUGAGUGGAACUCCGAGUGUAGAGGUGAAAUUCGUAGAUAUUCGGAAGAACACCAGUGGCGAAGGCGGCUCACUGGCCCGGUACUGACGCUGAGGUGCGAAAGCGUGGGGAGCAAA
Molecule: ribosomal RNA, 386 nt
Filed under: uncultured bacterium
Lineage: Bacteria
Description: bacterial SSU rRNA
Rfam family: Bacterial small subunit ribosomal RNA
Source: RNAcentral